UGAGUACGAGCGGCUACGGCCGCGAAGUGGAUGAUGUCAAGCUUCCAAGAAAAGCCCUAUACCCGUUAAGGCAUGAUGGCCUGUACCCGAAACCGACACAGGUGGGGUGGUAGAGAAUACCGAGGGGCGCGAGGUAACUCUCUCUAAGGAACUCGGCAAAAUGGCCCCGUAACUUCGGGAGAAGGGGUGCCACCGCGAGGUGGUCGCAGUGAAGAGGCCCAGGCGACUGUUUACCAAAAACACAGGUCUCCGCUAAGUCGCAAGACGAUGUAUGGGGGCUGACGCCUGCCCAGUGCCGGAAGGUUAAGGAAGCUGGUCAGCGCAAGCGAAGCUGGCGACUGAAGCCCCGGUGAACGGCGGCCGUAACAAUAACGGUCCUAAGGUAGCGAAAUUCCUUGUCGGGUAAGCUCCGACCCGCACGAAAGGCGUAACGAUCUGGGCGCUGUCUCGGAGAGAGGCUCGGCGAAAUAGAAUUGUCUGUGAAGAUGCGGACUACGUGCACCCGGACAGAAAGACCCUAUGAAGCUUUACUGUAGCUUGGUAUUGUGCUCGGGCUCGGAAUGCGCAGGAUAGGUGGGAGGCUUUGAUCCAUUGCUUGCGGGUGAUGGUGAGCCACUGGUGAGAUACCACUCUUUCCGAGCUAGAGUUCUAACAGCAACCCGUUAUCCGGGUGCUGGACAGUAUCAGGUGGGCAGUUUGACUGGGGCGGUCGCCUCCUAAAAGGUAACGGAGGCGCGCAAAGGUCUGCUCAGGCUGGUUGGAAAUCAGCCGACGAGUGUAAAAGCAGAAGCAGGCUUGACUGCGAGACCUACAAGUCGAACAGGGAGGAAACUCGGCUUUAGUGAUCCGACGGUUCUGCGUGGAAGGGCCGUCGCUCAACGGAUAAAAGUUACUCUAAGGAUAACAGGCUGAUCUCCCCCAAGAGUUCACAUCGACGGGGAGGUUUGGCACCUCGAUGUCGGCUCAUCGCAACCUGGGGCUGAAGUCGGUCCCAAGGGUUGGGCUGUUCGCCCAUUAAAGCGGUACGCGAGCUGGGUUCAGAACGUCGUGAGACAGUUCGGUCCAUAUCCGGUGCACGCGCAGGAAUAUUGAGAGGAUUUCUCCCUAGUACGAGAGGACCGGGAGGAACGCACCUCUGGUGUGCCAGUUAUCGUGCCAACGGUAAACGCUGGGUAGCCAUGUGCGGAGUGGAUAACCGCUGAAAGCAUCUAAGUGGGAAGCCCACCUCAAGAUGAGUAUUCCCAUGGCAUAAGCCAGUAAGGUCACGGGAAGAACACCCGUUGAUAGGCUCUACGUGGAAGCGCAGUAAUGUGUGAAGCGGAGGAGUACUAAUAGACCGAGGGCUUGACCA
RNAcentral lists this ribosomal RNA (1351 nucleotides) under metagenome. RNAcentral's name for it is "bacterial LSU rRNA". It matches the Rfam family "Bacterial large subunit ribosomal RNA", at positions 1564 to 2925 of the family's 2925-position model. The record is from RNAcentral.